GAUGAACGCUGGCGGCGUGCCUAAUACAUGCAAGUCGAGCGAACGGACGAGAAGCUUGCUUCUCUGUGGUUAGCGGCGGACGGGUGGGUAACACGUGGAUAACCACCCUAUAAGACUGGGAUAAUUUCGGAAAACCGGAGCUAAUCCCGGAUAAUAUUUUGACCCGCAUGGUUCAAAAUUGAAAGACGGUCUUGCUGUCACUUAUAGAUGAAUCCGCGCUGCAUUAGCUAGUUGGUAAGGUAACGGCUUACAAAGGCAACGAUGCAUAGCCGACCUGAGAGGGUGAUCGGCCACACUGGAACUGAGACACGGUCCAGACUCCUACGGGAGGCAGCAGUAGGGAAUCUUCCGCAAUGGGCGAAAGCCUGACGGAGCAACGCCGCGUGAGUGAUGAAGGUCUUCGGAUCGUAAAACUCUGUUAUUAGGGAAGAACAUAUGUGUAAGUAACUGUGCACAUCUUGACGGUACCUAAUCAGAAAGCCACGGCUAACUACGUG
Molecule: ribosomal RNA, 497 nt
Filed under: uncultured bacterium
Lineage: Bacteria
Description: partial 16S ribosomal RNA
Rfam family: Bacterial small subunit ribosomal RNA
Source: RNAcentral